RNAcentral lists this microRNA precursor (112 nucleotides) under Heliconius melpomene (postman butterfly). RNAcentral describes it as "microRNA hme-mir-929 precursor". Its record names the gene hme-mir-929. The stretch from base 20 to 90 matches the Rfam family "mir-929 microRNA precursor family". The record is from miRBase by way of RNAcentral. Lineage: Eukaryota; Metazoa; Arthropoda; Insecta; Lepidoptera; Nymphalidae.
GAAAAAAUGUUUAGCUCAUGGAUGUGAAAUUGACUCUAGUAGGGAGUCCGUUUCAACGCGACUCCCUAAUCGAGUCAGGUUGACUUCUUUGAGUAUAUCUCAACAUUGAUUU